RNAcentral lists this ribosomal RNA (344 nucleotides) under uncultured eukaryote. Its description in RNAcentral is "SSU rRNA". It matches the Rfam family "Eukaryotic small subunit ribosomal RNA", at positions 567 to 916 of the family's 1831-position model. The record is from RNAcentral.
CCAGCAGCCGCGGUAAUUCCAGCUCCAAUAGCGUAUAUUUAAGUUGUUGCAGUUAAAAAGCUCGUAGUUGGAUUUCGGAAGGGUGCUGCCGGUCCGCCGUUUCGGUGUGCACUGGCAGCGCCUUUCUUGCUGCCGGGGACGGGCUCCUGAGCUUUAUUGCUCGGGACUCGGAGUUGGCGAGGUUACUUUGAGUAAAUUAGAGUGUUCAAAGCAGGCCUACGCUCUGAAUACAUUAGCAUGGAAUAACACGAUAGGACUCUGGCCUAUCUCGUUGGUCUGUGGGACCGGAGUAAUGAUUAAGAGGGACAGUCGGGGGCAUUCGUAUUUCAUUGUCAGAGGUGAAA